CCUCCUCUUCUUGGCGGGGAUCGGGAGUGUGGUCCCAGUCCCCGUAAUGUACCAAGGCAAAGGGAAAGGGCUCCAGCUCCCUCAGUGUCAUGUCUUCCAGUGCCAGCAGCUUCCGGUCUGUCGGUUCUAUCCUGAAGCACUGGAACACGG
Molecule: small nucleolar RNA, 150 nt
Organism: Pteropus vampyrus (large flying fox)
Lineage: Eukaryota; Metazoa; Chordata; Mammalia; Chiroptera; Pteropodidae
Source: Ensembl